RNAcentral lists this ribosomal RNA (1171 nucleotides) under human gut metagenome. Its description in RNAcentral is "bacterial LSU rRNA". It matches the Rfam family "Bacterial large subunit ribosomal RNA", at positions 826 to 1980 of the family's 2925-position model. The record is from RNAcentral.
AUUCCAAUCGAACUCGGAGAUAGCUGGUUCUCCCCGAAAUAGCUUUAGGGCUAGCCUCAUAUUAGAUACCCGGAGGUAAAGCACUGAAUGGCCUAGCGCCCGAGAGGGUAGCGAAGCCUAUCAAACUAAGAAUGCCGGAGUAUUGAUGUAUGGGAGUCAGACAGUGUGAGAUAAAUCUCAUUGUCAAAAGGGAAACAGCCCAGAUCUACAGCUAAGGUCCCAAAUUGUAUCUAAGUGGAAAACGAUGUGGAAAUACGCAGACAACCAGGAUGUUGGCUCAGAAGCAGCCACUCAUUUAAAGAGUGCGUAAUAGCUCACUGGUCGAGAGACCCUGCGCCGAAGAUUCCCGGGGCUAAAGUACGAAACCGAAGCUGUGGCUGUAUACGUAAAGUAUACGGGGUAGGGGAGCGUUCCCAUAGGGUAGAAGUCGAACUGGAAGGUUCGGUGGACUUGUGGGAAGUGAGAAUGUUGGUAUGAGUAGCGAAAAGAAAGGUGAGAAUCCUUUCCACCGAAAGCAUAAGGAUUCCUGAGCAACGAUCGUCGUCUCAGGGUAAGUCGGGACCUAAUCCGAGGCAGAGAGCGUAGGAGAUGGACAACUGGUUGAUAUUCCAGUACCGGUAGUAAUUGUUUGAGCAAUGGAGUGACACAGAAGGGCAGGCAAGCAUGCGAAUGGAAGAGCAUGUGUAAGCGUGUAGGGUGGUGCAUAGGCAAAUCCGUGCACUGAAAGCCUGAGGCGUGAUGCGGAGUGAGCAGAGAUGCGAGCGAAGUUGUUGACCCCACACUGUCGAGAAAAGCUUCUAGUGAGAGAGCUACCGCCCGUACCGUAAACCGACACAGGUAUGCGGGGAGAGAAUCCUAAGGUGCGCGGGAGAACCCUCGUUAAGGAACUCGGCAAAAUGUACCCGUAACUUCGGGAUAAGGGUAGCCACUGUUGUGAAGUCCCAUGCGGAUGGAGCAUAGAGUGGUCGCAGAGAAGAGGCCCAAGCGACUGUUUACCAUAAACACAGGUGCCUGCUAAAGCGAAAGCUGACGUAUAGGUGCUGACACCUGCCCAGUGCCGGAAGGUUAAGGAAGGAUGUUCGGAGUAAUCCAAAGCAUUCGACUGAAGCCCCGGUGAACGGCGGCCGUAACUAUAACGGUCCUAAGGUAGCGAAAUUCCUUGUCGGGUAAG